RNAcentral lists this ribosomal RNA (509 nucleotides) under uncultured bacterium. RNAcentral describes it as "bacterial SSU rRNA". It matches the Rfam family "Bacterial small subunit ribosomal RNA", at positions 30 to 518 of the family's 1533-position model. The record is from RNAcentral.
CGAACGCUGGCAGCGUGGAUUAGGCAUGCAAGUCGAACGGGAUCCGGAUGGUAGCAAUAUCGUCUGGUGAGAGUGGCGGAUUGGGGAGGAGCACGUGAGCAACCUGGCCCUGGAGAUGUGGAAAACCGCUGGAAACGGCGGCUAAUACAGAAUGUGGCGCCCCGCGGCAUCGCGGGAGCGCCGAAGGGGGCCGAAAGGCUCCCGCUCCGGGAUGGGCUCGCGCACCAUCAGCUUGUUGGCGGGUAACGGCCCACCAAGGCUCACGGUUAGCUGGUCUGAGAGGAUGACCAGCCCCACUGGGACUGAGAUACUGCCCAGACUCCUACGGGAGGCUGCAGUCGAGGAUCAUUCGCAAUGGGCGGAAGCCUGACGAUGCGACGCUGCGUGGAGGAUGGAGGCCCUCGGGUCGUAAACUCCUGUCAUGGGGGAAAAGGCGAGGACGGCCAAUACCCGUCUUAGUUGAUGGUACCCCAAGAGGAAUGGGUGGCUAACUCUGUGCCAGCAGCGGC